This 74-nucleotide transfer RNA is filed under the name Podarcis lilfordi (Lilford's wall lizard). RNAcentral's name for it is "tRNA.Lys". The stretch from base 9 to 66 matches the Rfam family "tRNA", at positions 8 to 63 of the family's 71-position model. From Rfam's summary of the family: Transfer RNA (tRNA) molecules are approximately 80 nucleotides in length. Their secondary structure includes four short double-helical elements and three loops (D, anti-codon, and T loops). The record is from RNAcentral. Lineage: Eukaryota; Metazoa; Chordata; Lepidosauria; Squamata; Lacertidae.
GCAAGUAAUAGCUCAGCUGUUAGAACAUGAGACUCUUAAACUCAAGGCUGUGGGUUUGAGCCCCACGUUAGGCA